GGAGUGGGUCAGAUGACCGCGUGUGUUCCCUGCCUUGCAGUGGGGCAGCGCAUGAGGAAAGUCCGGACUCCGCAGGGCAGGAUGCCAGCUAACGGCUGGGCGGGGCGACCCGACGGAAAGUGCCACAGAAAAGAAAACUCCCCGAUUGUUCCCACCGGAUCAAUCGGAGAAAAGCUGAAACGGUGCGGUAAGAGCGCACCAGCGUAUCGGCAACGAUGCGGCUUGGCAAACCCCAUCCGGAGCAAAGGCAAAUAGGAGCGCGAUGGACUGGCCCGGUCUGCGCUCGGGUUGCCUGCUCGAGGGUGUUGGUGACAGCACUCCCAGAUAAAUGGUCAUCCAUGACAGAAUCCGGCUUACCGACCCACUCCAGCC
RNAcentral lists this RNase P RNA (372 nucleotides) under Coriobacteriales bacterium. RNAcentral describes it as "RNase P RNA component class A". It matches the Rfam family "Bacterial RNase P class A". Rfam says of the family: Ribonuclease P (RNase P) is a ubiquitous endoribonuclease, found in archaea, bacteria and eukarya as well as chloroplasts and mitochondria. Lineage: Bacteria; Bacillati; Actinomycetota; Coriobacteriia; Coriobacteriales. The record is from RNAcentral.